Molecule: non-coding RNA, 286 nt
Organism: Ciona savignyi (Pacific transparent sea squirt)
Lineage: Eukaryota; Metazoa; Chordata; Ascidiacea; Phlebobranchia; Cionidae
Source: Rfam
CGGCCUGAGGUCGGACGAGGCUACCCGCUGAAUUUAAGCAUAUUACUAAGCGGAGGAAAAGAAACUAACGAGGAUUCCCUCAGUAACGGCGAGUGAAGCGGGACGAGCCCAGCGCCGAAUCCGGCCGCUUAUGGAGCGGACGGAAUUGUGGCGUAUGGAAUUCGCUUCGAGCGCGGACCGGCUGCCCACGUCCUUCUGAUCGAGGCUUCAUCCCAUAGCGGGUGUCAGGCCUUGGCGGCGGCUGGCCCGGGCUCUCGGUGUCUUCCCGGAGUCGGGUUGUUUGGGA